CUUCUUAUAGUUUAUGCAAAAUAUAGUACUGAAGAUACUAAGAAAUAUUUUUUAAGAAGA
RNAcentral lists this transfer RNA (60 nucleotides) under Stenostomum leucops. Its description in RNAcentral is "tRNA-Phe". Lineage: Eukaryota; Metazoa; Platyhelminthes; Stenostomidae. RNAcentral also lists the same sequence under 1 other name. The record is from RNAcentral.